ACUACAAUAGAAUUAGGUUAUAGGGACACAUGUUUGGGACACUUUUGAGUAAGUGUCCCAUUUAUGCUAAAACUUAAAAAAACAUCUACUAAUACCUAAAUAUAAAGCCCAAUGCAACCAAAAAUAAAAGAUUACUCUACUAAACCCACCACACCCAGUCCAUUUGGCCCGAUUACAAACAGAAAAGAAUAAAAAAAGAAAAAUCAAUUACCAUCUUUUCUUCUCUCUUCACUCAAUUCACUGAAAUUCUAGACGAAGAGCCUUUCCUGUCGUCGUCCUCCGCCAUCGCAGCCAACGAGAUAGAGUUUCGGUGGUUGCUAAAUGCUUAAAUAAGUGUUGGUAAAUUAGUAGCACUCUUUUAUAUUAUAGCGACACUCUUUAACUGUCACUAUAUACCUAGCGACCCCACAUAUAGCAACACUUUUCAAAAGUGUCGGUAAUUUUAGCUAGCAGCACUUUUUUGAUAGGUACAUUUAAAAGUGUCGCUAUAGACCGUUUUUGUUGUAGUGCGGGGCGUGACAGCUGCCCUCCGGGACGUCACGGUCGCCGUCACCCCGCUCUCUUCUCUAGCAUCAUCGCGCUCUCCUUCAUCUCCACAUCGCUCGUCGCCGGC
This 613-nucleotide long non-coding RNA is filed under the name Ananas comosus (pineapple). RNAcentral describes it as "long non-coding RNA (ACOM_LNC027837)". Lineage: Eukaryota; Viridiplantae; Streptophyta; Magnoliopsida; Poales; Bromeliaceae. The record is from RNAcentral.